Molecule: long non-coding RNA, 227 nt
Filed under: Malus domestica (apple)
Lineage: Eukaryota; Viridiplantae; Streptophyta; Magnoliopsida; Rosales; Rosaceae
Description: long non-coding RNA (MDOM_LNC011748)
Source: RNAcentral
UAAAGUUGCUUCGUUUUUUUUUAACCAAAUUUGAGUUGAUUAGUUUUAAAAACUGAACUCAAAAUUAAGACAUAGGCAAUUUGUUAAAAACACCAAAAUGAGUUUUUGAUUUCUUUUAACUUAACAAACCUCUAUUGAUCUCUAAUUUAUUCCGCUCUCCGAAUCUUCUCUCUCCUCAUCAAUGAAUCUUCUCUCUCCUCAUCAAUUUCUACUAAUCUCUCUCUUCU